AAUUUUAGGUAUGCCCUGCCCAGUGAAUUAUUAAACGGCCGCAGUACUCUGACUGUGCUAAGGUAGCAUAAUAAUUUGUCUAUUAAUUGUAGACUGGAAUAAACGGGUAGUUUAUAGAUAUCUAUCUUUAUAUUAUUUUCAUAAAUUUACUUAUAAGGUGAAAAUGCCUUUAUUUUUAUANUUAGACGAGAAGACCCUUAGAGUUUAACCUAUAUUUUGUUGGGGCGACAAGGAAGUAUAUAUCCUUNCUCAUUAUUAUUUGUAAUAUAUCAUAUAAUUAAAUAAAUAAACUACCUAAGGGAUAACAGCAUAAUUUUUUAGAAAGAUUAUGACCUCGAUGUUGGAUUAAGGACUUAUAUACUAAAAGUUUAAUAANGAUUGUUCUGUUCGAACA
Molecule: ribosomal RNA, 394 nt
Filed under: Hemphillia burringtoni (keeled jumping slug)
Lineage: Eukaryota; Metazoa; Mollusca; Gastropoda; Stylommatophora; Arionidae
Description: partial large subunit ribosomal RNA
Rfam family: Bacterial large subunit ribosomal RNA
Source: RNAcentral